CCUACGGGAGGCAGCAGUAGGGAAUAUUGCUCAAUGGGGGAAACCCUGAAGCAGCAACGCCGCGUGGAGGAUGAAGGUUUUAGGAUUGUAAACUUCUUUUGUUAGAGAAGAUUAUGACGGUAUCUAACGAAUAAGCACCGGCUAACUCCGUGCCAGCAGCCGCGGUAAUACGGAGGGUGCAAGCGUUACUCGGAAUCACUGGGCGUAAAGAGUGCGUAGGCGGGGUAAUAAGUCAGAUGUGAAAUCCUGUAGCUUAACUACAGGACUGCAUUUGAAACUGUUACUCUGGAGUGUGGGAGAGGUAGGUGGAAUUCUUGGUGUAGGGGUAAAAUGCGUAGAGAUCAAGAGGAAUACUCAUUGCGAAGGCGACCUGCUGGAACAUUACUGACGCUGAUGCACGAAAGCGUGGGGAGCAAACAGGAUUAGAUACCCCAGUAGUC
This 440-nucleotide ribosomal RNA is filed under the name uncultured bacterium. Its description in RNAcentral is "partial 16S ribosomal RNA". It matches the Rfam family "Bacterial small subunit ribosomal RNA", at positions 338 to 795 of the family's 1533-position model. The record is from RNAcentral.